UGACCUGCUUCAAUUUCGAAGCACAAGGCCAUACGGACAGCUAGGUCUAUUGCCGU
Molecule: small RNA, 56 nt
Filed under: unclassified sequences
Description: Streptococcus sRNA SpF59 (ldcC RNA)
Rfam family: Streptococcus sRNA SpF59 (ldcC RNA)
Source: Rfam by way of RNAcentral